CGAGCGGACAGAUGGGAGCUUGCUCCCUGAUGUUAGCGGCGGACGGGUGAGUAACACGUGGGUAACCUGCCUGUAAGACUGGGAUAACUCCGGGAAACCGGGGCUAAUACCGGAUGGUUGUUUGAACCGCAUGGUUCAGACAUAAAAGGUGGCUUCGGCUACCACUUACAGAUGGACCCGCGGCGCAUUAGCUAGUUGGUGAGGUAACGGCUCACCAAGGCGACGAUGCGUAGCCGACCUGAGAGGGUGAUCGGCCACACUGGGACUGAGACACGGCCCAGACUCCUACGGGAGGCAGCAGUAGGGAAUCUUCCGCAAUGGACGAAAGUCUGACGGAGCAACGCCGCGUGAGUGAUGAAGGUUUUCGGAUCGUAAAGCUCUGUUGUUAGGGAAGAACAAGUGCCGUUCAAAUAGGGCGGCACCUUGACGGUACCUAACCAGAAAGCCACGGCUAACUACGUGCCAGCAGCCGCGGUAAUACGUAGGUGGCAAGCGUUGUCCGGAAUUAUUGGGCGUAAAGGGCUCGCAGGCGGUUUCUUAAGUCUGAUGUGAAAGCCCCCGGCUCAACCGGGGAGGGUC
Molecule: ribosomal RNA, 579 nt
Filed under: Bacillus amyloliquefaciens
Lineage: Bacteria; Bacillati; Bacillota; Bacilli; Caryophanales; Bacillaceae
Description: bacterial SSU rRNA
Rfam family: Bacterial small subunit ribosomal RNA
Source: RNAcentral